RNAcentral lists this long non-coding RNA (2212 nucleotides) under Pongo abelii (Sumatran orangutan). RNAcentral's name for it is "lincRNA". The record is from RNAcentral. Lineage: Eukaryota; Metazoa; Chordata; Mammalia; Primates; Hominidae.
GGCGGGCGCAGGAUGAGGGCGGCCAUUGCUGGGGCUCUGCUUCGGGGAGGAGGACGCUGAGGAGGCGCCGAGCCGCGCAGCGCUGCGGGGGAGGCGCCCGCGCCGACGCGGGGCCCAUGGCCAGGACCACCAGCCAGCUGUUCUACGGUCUGGGGACGAUGGUUUAAGAAUUUAUGCGUUGUAUGCGAUGUGCAGUGGGUGAUGGAAGAACGUCUACAUAGCUUGCAAAAUUUGAUUUAAAAGGCAAAUAUUUUAAAUGAAGGAAAACCCAAGAAGUUUACUUGAUUCCUUAUCUUCCAGGAUGCGACUUUUAUUUAUUUAUUUUGAUGGAGUCUCGCUCCCGUCGCGCAGGCUGGAGUGCAGUGACGUGAUCUCGACCCGGGAACCUCCACCUCCCGGGUUCAAGCGAUUCUCCUGCCACAGCCUCCCGAGUAGCUGGGAUUACAGGCGUGUGCCACCAUGCGUGGCUAAUUUUUGUAUUUUUAGUAGAGAAGGGGAAAGGUGUGGGCCCUCUUCUGAGAAAAAGGCAGAGUGACAUUGAAUUUUGUAACUACGUCAGGAGGCUCUUGAACUUUCUGCAGCUCACUCGUGGACUUUGUAGAGAUGCGUGGUAAUCUGAAGUGUUAAGGAAGAAAGUUGGGAAAAAUGUUGGAGGGUUGAAAGGGAUGCCUUUCGCUAUUUCGACAUGUGUGGCUGUACCCCAGAGUAGCCCGGGUAACAUAAAAAUAUGAAUUGUUUUUAUUGGCCAGGCUUGGCCAGGCUCAGUGGAGGCUGGGGCCGAGAGUCAUGGCGAAGUUUGUGAGGUUAAUCUGCACCCAGUGAUAGUCAUGGCGAAGUUUGUGAGGUUAAUCUGCACCCAGUGACAGUCAUGGCGAAGUUUGUGAGGUUAACUCGCACCCAGUAACGCUGUUGUAAUGCAAGGUGUGUAUUUGGUGUCAUCUACGGGAAGAAGAAAGAGCAAAUUUUCUCAUGGCCUUGGCAGUUCCACAUGAUGAACAUUUAAUAUCUGCAGUUUUCUUCGCAUAAGACGGCUUUUUUGCACAAAAACAUUGGAAUCCAGUGAGCAAGAAAGAUAGAAUACAAGAUAGAUUUCCACAUGAGGAUGUGUCACGAACGAGGCUUUUGCAUCUCUGUCAGCUGGAUUCCCCCAUGUGUACGUAUGUGAGAACAUGCCGUGUUUCCUGUCCAUAAUGGUAGAGGCAGCCCUGAUACUGGAUUUUCACCUGAGGAUGGAUAGACCUUCAGGGUUCACGUGGGUUUGCAUCUGGACUUCAGGGUGUCCCUGUAGGCCCCGUGUGAGAAGCCCCCUUCCCAGUGAACUCUCCCGUGUGUGUACGCGUGGACAGCCAACAGGGGGAGCAGUGCGAGCGUGAAGGCAGACAGUGGCCUGGCCCAGUCUGAUGCUAAGUGGGCCAGAGGCAGUGAGUACCAUUUCUUGAUCUGACUGCUCAAGACAGGUGCUUCCCUAGGUACUUUCACACCUCAUUGCGAGGUAGGUGUUGUUCCCAUUUUACAGGUGCAGAAGCUGAGCUGCAGAGGCGUUAAGUACCUGCCUCAUAAGUGGUAGAGACUCCAGUGUCACCCUGCCCUUCAAGUUCGGAGCCCCCGAGGGAGGGUCUGCCGGGCAGCUCAGCCCAGCACUCUGUAAGGAAAUCUUCAGUGCCACUGCCCAGGAUGUCUUCCCGGGGAUUGGGCCUGAAUGUCUUGACCGUGCUGUGCUGGAGGUAGGAGGGGUGUUUUCAUAUGGAAGAACUGUACAUAUUUCUUUGGCAGAUGGCUGAACUCUGUGACCCCAGGGCCUGUUUCAGCCUCCUGCUGUCAGAAAGCAGCUGUUUGGAAAGAGGCUGUGAUUCGGCCUUGUUUGAGGGCCGAUACUCUGAAUGGGUGAGGCUUGGCAUCCUUCCUUUGGAACAAAGAAACAUGUAAUGAUUUUGCUGAAGGUAGAAUUGGGGGACUAGACAGAGUGGCCUCCUGCUCUCCCUAGGGUGGGGUCUUUUGCAAAGGUGGCUGCAUCCUUAGGGGAAGGUGAGGGGAGAAGCAGGGGAGCAUGGAGGGAAGUGGCUUUCAAUUUUCUCCCUCCUUUUGGAGAGAGAAAGCCUCUUUAUGUGGCUGGUCUGGUGCAUAGUGUGAUGUAUUCCUGUCCCCAGCGAUGCCCCGACAGCCAGUCCAAGCUGAGUCUAGAGCUGGCAAGGUGAGGUCCCAGUAGUAAGAG